GACAGAGGCCCCAAGCGUUAGGCGGAAUCACUGGGCUUAAAGCGUGUGUAGGCGGAUCGUUAAGUGUCUUGUGGAAUCCCACGGCUCACCCGUGGAACUGCUGGGCAUACUGGCGAUCUUGGGCCAACUAGGGGCAGCCGGAACAAGCGGUGGAGCGGUGAAAUGCGUAGAUAUCGUUUGGAACGCCAAUGGUGAAAACAAGUAGCUGGGGAUGUGCCGACGCUGAGACACGAAAGCCAGGGGAGCGAACGGG
This 253-nucleotide ribosomal RNA is filed under the name uncultured bacterium. Its description in RNAcentral is "partial 16S ribosomal RNA". It matches the Rfam family "Bacterial small subunit ribosomal RNA", at positions 524 to 776 of the family's 1533-position model. The record is from RNAcentral.